UUUCCUACGGGUGGCUGCAGUGGGGAAUAUUGGACAAUGGGCGAAAGCCUGAUCCAGCCAUGCCGCGUGAGUGAUGAAGGCCUUAGGGUUGUAAAGCUCUUUCAGUGGGGAAGAUAAUGACGGUACCCACAGAAGAAGCCCCGGCUAACUUCGUGCCAGCAGCCGCGGUAAUACGAAGGGGGCUAGCGUUGUUCGGAUUUACUGGGCGUAAAGCGCGCGUAGGCGGAUCGCUAAGUCGGGGGUGAAAUCCUGGAGCUCAACUCCAGAACUGCCUCCGAUACUGGCGAUCUAGAGUCCGGAAGAGGUGAGUGGAACUCCUAGUGUAGAGGUGGAAUUCGUAGAUAUUAGGAAGAACACCAGUGGCGAAGGCGGCUCACUGGUCCGGCACUGACGCUGAUGCGCGAAAGCGUGGGGAGCAAACAGGAUUAGAUACCCCAGUAGUCCU
Molecule: ribosomal RNA, 445 nt
Filed under: uncultured Devosia sp.
Lineage: Bacteria; Pseudomonadati; Pseudomonadota; Alphaproteobacteria; Hyphomicrobiales; Devosiaceae
Description: bacterial SSU rRNA
Rfam family: Bacterial small subunit ribosomal RNA
Source: RNAcentral